AUAUGUCUAGCUCAGUUGGUAGAGUACAAGACUUUUAACCUUAAGGUUAUGGGUUCAAGCUUCAUGGUGGACG
This 73-nucleotide transfer RNA is filed under the name Zea mays. It matches the Rfam family "tRNA". From Rfam's summary of the family: Transfer RNA (tRNA) molecules are approximately 80 nucleotides in length. Their secondary structure includes four short double-helical elements and three loops (D, anti-codon, and T loops). Lineage: Eukaryota; Viridiplantae; Streptophyta; Magnoliopsida; Poales; Poaceae. The record is from Rfam by way of RNAcentral.